This 431-nucleotide ribosomal RNA is filed under the name uncultured Desulfobulbus sp. RNAcentral's name for it is "bacterial SSU rRNA". It matches the Rfam family "Bacterial small subunit ribosomal RNA", at positions 954 to 1382 of the family's 1533-position model. The record is from RNAcentral. Lineage: Bacteria; Pseudomonadati; Thermodesulfobacteriota; Desulfobulbia; Desulfobulbales; Desulfobulbaceae.
AUGCAACGCGAAGAACCUUACCUGGUCUUGACAUCCCGGAGACCCUUAGGAACUAGGGGUGCUUCCAUCUGAAGAAUCUGGAGACAGGUGCUGCAUGGCUGUCGUCAGCUCGUGUCGUGAGAUGUUGGGUUAAGUCCCGCAACGAGCGCAACCCUUGCCUUUAGUUGCCAGCAGUUCGGCUGGGCACUCUAAAGGGACUGCCGGUGUUAAACCGGAGGAAGGUGGGGAUGACGUCAAGUCCUCAUGGCCUUUAUGACCAGGGCUACACACGUACUACAAUGGCCGAUACAAAGGGCAGCGACACUGCGAGGUGAAGCCAAUCCCGUAAAAUCGGUCUCAGUCCGGAUUGGAGUCUGCAACUCGACUCCAUGAAGUUGGAAUCGCUAGUAAUCGUGGAUCAGCAUGCCACGGUGAAUACGUUCCCGGGCCUU